RNAcentral lists this transfer RNA (66 nucleotides) under Cucujoidea sp. 16 KM-2017. Its description in RNAcentral is "tRNA-Phe". Lineage: Eukaryota; Metazoa; Arthropoda; Insecta; Coleoptera. The record is from RNAcentral.
ACUUAAAUAGCUUAUAAUUAGAGCAUAAUAUUGAAGAUAUUAAGGAAAUAGUAUUAUUUUUAAGUA